GGGACGUUCGCCCAAUGGGUAGGGCAGCGGGCUUUUACCCCGUAAGAUGAGGGUUCGAAUCCCUUGCGUCCCA
This 73-nucleotide transfer RNA is filed under the name Polyangiaceae bacterium. RNAcentral's name for it is "tRNA-Lys". It matches the Rfam family "tRNA". Rfam says of the family: Transfer RNA (tRNA) molecules are approximately 80 nucleotides in length. Their secondary structure includes four short double-helical elements and three loops (D, anti-codon, and T loops). The record is from RNAcentral. Lineage: Bacteria; Pseudomonadati; Myxococcota; Polyangiales; Polyangiaceae.